Drosophila miranda is the source of this 1663-nucleotide long non-coding RNA. RefSeq lists it as uncharacterized. The transcript has 3 exons. Lineage: Eukaryota; Metazoa; Arthropoda; Insecta; Diptera; Drosophilidae. The record is from RefSeq and is a predicted model, not a curated record.
GUUACCAUAUUAUCUUUGUUCAUACGUAUUAACAAACAUUUUCCAAAUGCGUUUGUAUUUGAAAAGUUUCAACGAUCGUUUUGCGAGUGACUGCAAGUUUGAUUUUUAAUUGAUAUUUUAUGUUUAAAUGACUUCACGCAUUGGGAGCAUUGAUAUGAUCAUUUGUGUGGACACGGGUGUGUAGAUGGGCAUUUUUAAGAAAGGACUUGGAGCAGUCAGUACACUUGUGCGGUCGCUCCCCAGUGUGAGAAAGGAGGUGUGUCUUGAGUGUGUUUUUUUGCUUAUAUGACUUCGAGAACUGGGAACAUUGAUAUGGUCGAUCAUCUAUGUGCGUACUGAUGUGCCAUUGAAGAGUUCCGACGCGAGAGAAAGACUUGGAGCAGUGAGAACUCUUAUAAGGUCGUUCCCCCGUGUGACAACGGAUUUGUUCCCUGAGAACGUAUUUGAGUACAAACGAUUUUAAGCAGUUAGAACAUUUGUAGGGUCUGUCCAUAAUAUCCGUCUUAUUUUCUUCAUCAGUUUCGAACUGGUUCGAUUGCUCACUUUCACUAUCUGACUGUUCCCAAAUAUCGUCUUCCAGGUUAUCACAGGUGUUUUCUUCUCUAUCCUUUUCCAUCAGUAUUAAAUAAAGUUUAUGGCUCUGCUCUCAGAUGGUCUUAAGAUUGAAUGCACUCAUUGCAUCCUCAAUGCAGGGCGGACAUAUGUGCUAUCAUGUCAGCAAUACAAGUAUCCAAUUUUGGUCUUUCAUCAAAAAUAUUUGUGAAUGGUCCGGAGUUUGCCAUGCAAACUCUGCUUUUAUUAAUUGCAAAAAUGUAGUUUGUAUGUUUCCUUGGCACUAAUUAUGUUGUUUUGCCCACAAAACAUAAUAAUUAGAGCUGUUAGACGCGAAUUGUAGCACGACAAAUUUAUGUUAUGCGAAAAGCCACAAAAAGUGCUGCUUGGCGCGAGAGGUAUCGACGUGUUAUCGAAAUAGUUUAUGUUAACUGCAACGUUUUGCAGAAAUUAUAUUCAUUUAAAUUCUGUGUUAUAUGAUACUGCAAGAGGACAGAACAAGAUAAAACACAAACUAAAUUGCAAAUCUGCAAUGCUUCGAAGGACCCAUGGGAGGAAUGAUUUGGGAUCAUACACAAGAGCAACGCCUAGGUUUAGUACCUAUGCAACAGGUGCGGGCAUGGAAUACUGUUAGUGGAUUUUCUGAAAAUAAAUACAUUCUCAAGCUGGUUCUGCUUUUAACACGCAACGUAUCUCAAUAGGACAUGGCAAUGUAUUACCAACCAUGAAUUCCAUUCGAAAGCACAUCAAGAAGGCGCUGAGAGAAAUUAUCUACGAGUGCAAGAUCUAUGCGGAAUAUGUUUUGCGUGAUUGUACAGAGCAGGAGCGACACUCGUACAUUAUGGCAUAGAAGCUGGCCACCGCGUUCAAGCCCAGAACCAUCCAUAUGGUUUUUUGGGACAGAGGUCCGUCUAUAGCGGCAUAUGGCAUAUGAGUCAUCAGUCCUGUGACUUAUCUUUCUUCUGUGCGUAUGCUAAACUGUUCCUGCAGACCGCCGGCUUACAGCAUUUUUAAGAUCGUACACGUCUGGAAUAACUAUUCAAUGCAAUAGUUUGAUUAAUUAUCUAACUAAUAGAUAAGUAUAAAAUGAAUAUCUUUAAAUUUGAGAAAA